UUCCGUAGGUGAACCUGCGGAAGGAUCACUAAAGUAAACGCCCUCUGGGGCUCUCUUUAUUCACACACCCCUGUGCACUUUGGCCACCUGCCGCGCUUAACUGCGUUAGUAGGUGUGUCUCUUUAAUUAUACCCAUAUACACAAGUCAUUGAAUGUAAAAUCGUUAUAAACUAAUAUAACUUUCAACAACGGAUCUCUUGGUUCUCGCAUCGAUGAAGAACGCAGCGAAUUGCGAUAAGUAAUGUGAAUUGCAGAAUUCAGUGAAUCAUCGAAUCUUUGAACGCAUCUUGCGCUCUUUGGUAUUCCGAAGAGCAUGCCUGUUUGAGUGUCAUGAAACUCUCACCUCCAGCCUCCUUUAAUUAGAGGUGUUGGGGCGUGGACGUGAGUGCUGCUGGUGCCCUGGUUGCAUCGGCUCACUUGAAAUACAUUAGCUGAAUCCUCUAGAGGUGGUUCUACUCGACGUGAUAAGAUCUCCGUCGAGGACAGUGCAACUUGUUGUGCUGGCCGCCGCUAGCAGUUGAUACGCUUCUAAUUAGCGCAGACUUCGAGUGCUGGCAACUUUUGACAACUUGGCCUCAAAUCAGGUAGGACUACCCACUGAACUUAAGCAUAUCAAUAAGCGGAGGAA
RNAcentral lists this ribosomal RNA (628 nucleotides) under Cystofilobasidium macerans. RNAcentral describes it as "eukaryotic LSU rRNA". The stretch from base 178 to 331 matches the Rfam family "5.8S ribosomal RNA". The record is from RNAcentral. Lineage: Eukaryota; Fungi; Basidiomycota; Tremellomycetes; Cystofilobasidiales; Cystofilobasidiaceae.